UACGAAGGGGGCUAGCGUUGUUCGGAAUUACUGGGCGUAAAGCGCGUGUAGGCGGCAAUGCAAGUCGGGCGUGAAAUUCCCGGGCUCAACCUGAGGGCUGCGCUUGAUACUGGUGAGCUUGAAUGCGGGAGAGGAUAGUGGAAUUCCCAGUGUAGAGGUGAAAUUCGUAGAUAUUGGGAAGAACACCGGUGGCGAAGGCGGCUAUCUGGCCCGUAAUUGACGCUGAGGCGCGAAAGCGUGGGGAGCAAACAGG
Molecule: ribosomal RNA, 253 nt
Filed under: uncultured bacterium
Lineage: Bacteria
Description: partial 16S ribosomal RNA
Rfam family: Bacterial small subunit ribosomal RNA
Source: RNAcentral